GACGAACGCUGGCGGCGUGCUUAACACAUGCAAGUCGAACGGAAAGGCCCUGCUUUUGUGGGGUGCUCGAGUGGCGAACGGGUGAGUAACACGUGAGUAACCUGCCCUUGACUUUGGGAUAACUUCAGGAAACUGGGGCUAAUACCGGAUAGGAGCUCCUGCUGCAUGGUGGGGGUUGGAAAGUUUCGGCGGUUGGGGAUGGACUCGCGGCUUAUCAGCUUGUUGGUGGGGUAGUGGCUUACCAAGGCUUUGACGGGUAGCCGGCCUGAGAGGGUGACCGGCCACAUGGGGACUGCGAUACGGCCCAGACGCCUACGGGAGGCAGCAGUGGGGAAUAUUGCACAGUGGGCGGAAGCCUGAUGCAGCAACGCCGCGUGCGGGAUGACGGCCUUCGGGUUGUAAACCGCUUUCGCCUGUGACGAAGCGUUAGUGACGGUAAUGGGUAAAGAAGCACCGGCUAACUACGUG
RNAcentral lists this ribosomal RNA (468 nucleotides) under uncultured bacterium. RNAcentral describes it as "partial 16S ribosomal RNA". It matches the Rfam family "Bacterial small subunit ribosomal RNA", at positions 28 to 507 of the family's 1533-position model. The record is from RNAcentral.